This 253-nucleotide ribosomal RNA is filed under the name uncultured bacterium. Its description in RNAcentral is "partial 16S ribosomal RNA". It matches the Rfam family "Bacterial small subunit ribosomal RNA", at positions 524 to 776 of the family's 1533-position model. The record is from RNAcentral.
UACGGAGGGUGCGAGCGUUGUUCGGAAUCACUGGGCGUAAAGAGCGUGUAGGCGGACUGGCAAGUCUGGUGUGAAAGCCCGGGGCUCACCCCCGGAAGUGCACUGGAAACUGCCAGACUCGAGUCCCGGAGAGGAGAGUAGAAUUCCUGGUGUAGCGGUGAAAUGCGUAGAUAUCAGGAGGAAUACCGGUGGCGAAGGCGGCUCUCUGGACGGUGACUGACGCUGAGACGCUAAAGCGUGGGGAGCAAACAGG